RNAcentral lists this long non-coding RNA (1726 nucleotides) under Setaria italica (foxtail millet). RNAcentral's name for it is "long non-coding RNA (SITA_LNC001839)". The record is from RNAcentral. Lineage: Eukaryota; Viridiplantae; Streptophyta; Magnoliopsida; Poales; Poaceae.
GUACUCAUAAGUACAAUCCCAUCAUCACACUCUUACAUGCAUGAACACAAAAGGCAGCAGAUCCCUACAGGUGUGUUCUGAUCUGAAUUAUCUGAUUCAACAUAAGAUGGUGAACUACUGAACUACAUGUCCUGACCUGAUGACGACGUACAUAGCAUGCAUGCGUCAAGCAAGGUGUUACAGGUAUAAUUACAGUAUACACAGAUGCAAAUAUAUAUGUACUGUAGUAUACAUAGAACGUACGAAACAGAUGCAACGAAAGACGAACCUAGCCUUUUGAAAUCGUAGCUAGUAGACAGAAAAAUAAAGCUAACUGAUUGAUUAAUAUAAGGCAGAAGAAGAUGCAUGGUGGAUGAUCUGAUAUAUAAGCAUGGCUGAUGGCUCAUCAAGAGGCGUCGAGCAUCUUCUUGUAGUACUCUUCGUCGUCGAUCCUCCAGAGCGAGUAAUCCGAGCAGUAUUCCCACACCGGCGACGACGGCAUCACCGGCGGCUCGGCGGCGGCGGGGUGACACGCUCCUACCCAGCCGUCGACCAUGUAGCUCGCCGCCGCCUCGGCUGCCGCGAUCUCGUUCCAGAACUGGUCCAUGGUGUAGGACGACGCUUCCUGCUGCUGCUGCUGCUGGUGGUGGUGAUGCUGGCUUGCCGCGGUGGUGGACGCCUCGUCGAGCUCGGCGUCGUCCUCUGCGCCGCCGCCGCCGCCGCUCUCUCGCAGCGCUGAACCGGUGACCGCCGACGACGACGCGGCCGUGCCGCAGCCGCUGCUCGGAGAGCCGGAGCAGGACGCGGUGGUGGUGGUCACGGUCGACGACGAGGACACCGAUGCCGCCGACGCCGCCGUCUUCGCUGCCUUCUGCUUCCUGGUGCGCGUCCUCCAGUAGUUCUUGAUCUCGUUGUCGGUGCGGCCGGGGAGGCUCCUGGCGAUGCGCGACCACCUGCUGCCGUACUGCGCGUGGAGCUCGAGGAUGAGGCGCUCCUCGUCGGCGGUGAUGCGGCCGCGGCGGAGGCCCGGGUGGAGGUAGUUGACCCACCGGAGACGGCAGCUCUUGCCGGUGCGCCUCAGACCUGCAGUACGCCGACACGCAUGCAUAGAGAAGAAAGCAGGGAGAAGGAGAAGAGGAAGCAAAUGGUUCACACCGGUCGUCUCUGCCCAUCCUAAGAUCAAUCCCCAAGAAUGGAUGCAUACAUAUAAAUAUAUAUAUAUUUAUAUACAUACGCAUGCUUGGGGAUGCACCCGCCACCGCCCCAACCUGAAACCUUUGCUAAGAAAUCCCACCGGCGUUCACCAAACAAGCGCACGAACCAUACCAGCUGGGCGUCUUCCUCCUCCGUCCACGGCCCCUUCCUCAUCCCCGCCUGCUUACUGCCACCACCACCACUACUACUACGCUCACCGUCCUUCUUCUGCUUGUUCCUGCAACACAUGGACAUGGUUGCUGCCGCCAUCGAUCGGUGAUCCAUCACCUCCUCUUCUUUACUUCUUCCUCCUGCUGCUGCAGCCCCGGCCAGGCGUGUGGUUUCCUCCUCCUCGUCGUCGGCUCCUCCCUUCGAAUUGUCCCCGUCGAUCGACGACUUGGGCUUAAUAGGGAAUAGGGCGCCGGACAGAGACAAAGGCCGUCCCAACAGAGCUUAGCUUGGAUCAAUCGAAAGGAAGAAGAAAGAGACUGCAGAUAGAUGCCUCCACUUGUGUACGAUCUAGAUUCUAGCUAGCUGUGUAUGAUGAAUACAC